AUUGAACGCUGGCGGCAUGCCUUACACAUGCAAGUCGAACGGUAACGGGCCUUCGGGUGCCGACGAGUGGCGAACGGGUGAGUAAUACAUCGGAACGUGCCCGAUCGUGGGGGAUAACGAGGCGAAAGCUUUGCUAAUACCGCAUACGAUCUACGGAUGAAAGCAGGGGACCGCAAGGCCUUGCGCGGACGGAGCGGCCGAUGGCAGAUUAGGCAGUUGAUGGGAUAAAAGCUUACCAAGCCGACGAUCUGUAGCUGGUCUGAGAGGAUGAUCAGCCACACUGGGACUGAGACACGGCCCAGACUCCUACGGGAGGCAGCAGUGGGGAAUUUUGGACAAUGGGCGCAAGCCUGAUCCAGCCAUGCCGCGUGCAGGAUGAAGGCCUUCGGGUUGUAAACUGCUUUUGUACGGAACGAAAAGCCUUCUUUUAAUACAGGAGGGUCAUGACGGUACCGUAAGAAUAAGCACCGGCUAACUACGUG
RNAcentral lists this ribosomal RNA (482 nucleotides) under uncultured bacterium. Its description in RNAcentral is "partial 16S ribosomal RNA". It matches the Rfam family "Bacterial small subunit ribosomal RNA", at positions 30 to 507 of the family's 1533-position model. The record is from RNAcentral.